CCUACGGGACGCAGCAGUAGGGAAUCUUCCACAAUGGGCGGAAGCCUGAUGGAGCAACGCCGCGUGGGUGAAGAAGGUCUUCGGAUCGUAAAACCCUUUUGUUAGAGAAGAAAGUGCGUGAGAGUAACUGUUCACGUUUCGACGGUAUCUAACCAGAAAGCCACGGCUAACUCCGUGCCAGCAGCCGCGGUAAUACGUAGGUGGCAAGCGUUAUCCGGAUUUAUUGGGCGUAAAGGGAGCGCAGGCGGUCUUUUAAGUCUGAUGUGAAAGCCUUCGGCUUAAC
This 283-nucleotide ribosomal RNA is filed under the name uncultured bacterium. Its description in RNAcentral is "partial 16S ribosomal RNA". It matches the Rfam family "Bacterial small subunit ribosomal RNA", at positions 338 to 613 of the family's 1533-position model. The record is from RNAcentral.